This 658-nucleotide long non-coding RNA is filed under the name Salvia miltiorrhiza (redroot sage). RNAcentral describes it as "long non-coding RNA (SMIL_LNC008005)". The record is from RNAcentral. Lineage: Eukaryota; Viridiplantae; Streptophyta; Magnoliopsida; Lamiales; Lamiaceae.
UAUUGGGGAAGAUUACAAGGGAGGAGGAAGAAGAUUGAUAUAUCUGACACAAGAUGAGCAAUAUACAAAGUUUGUUGUAAUUCCGUAGUGCACAUUAAAAAUUCUUGCAUGGCCUAUAUAGGUUAAACAAUGCAUGUAUAGAUUGAGGAAAACACUAGCAAGUGAAGUGCUAGGAGAAUAAAUGUGCAUGGCGUAGUGAUGAGAGAAUGAUGUGAUGAGUGAAUCUCCAAAUUGAAUGGAUCAUCAUAAGAGUUUCCACUAACAUAGAUGAACCUCGGUGGAGGCGGAGGUGGUGGUGGAGGAGGACUGCAAUACGGAGGCGGAGGCGGAGGAGAUGGCGGCUGUUGGGUGCAUGGAUUCAGACAAGGGCAUUCCCCACACUUUAUGAUUGGAUGAAUCGAAUCAUCAAUCUUGGUAGAAAAUGUCACACUUGUAGCAAUCACAAGGACCACCACUAACAAUAUUUGACUCCAUUUGCAGGCAAUCAAAGGCAUUGCGGCUCUCACUAUAUCCUCACAAGUUCACAACAAGAGAUCGAAAAGCAACAAAUUUGAGUGAUGAGGGAUUUUGUUUGAUAGUUUCAAAGAUGGAACUCCAAGAGGUGAAGUAUUUAUGCAAUGUGGUUGGGUAAUGGUUAGUUUGGUUAGGUGAAGUUGUG